CAGAACCUUAUGUAUGCAAGACAUUAUCUCUUAUUUGAGGGAUGAAGUACUUUAUGAGGAUAAAAAGGCAACGUAAAAAUUGUGAAUAAGAGCUAUUAGAUACACGUUGCAAGGUGACAUCUUGUUCAAGUGAGGAAAUACACUCCCUCUGCUCAGAUUUAUAGGAGAAGACUAAGCCUUAUACAUAAUGAAGGAAAUCCAUGAAUGUGUAUGUAGCAAUUACGCUCGUAGACACUCUUUAGUGCAAAAAGCUUUAAAACGAGGAUAUCAUUCACCUAAUAUGAGAAAAGAUGCAACGAACUUUGCAAGGAAAUGUGAUAAGUGUCAAACAUUCGCAUUAAUUCCACGGCAAUCUAUAUAAGAGCUGUUAACCAGCAGUGGCCUCUGGUCAUUUGGAUUUAGAUAACUAGUGGGUUCGAAUUACUUGAUAUAAGCUUAAAUGCCGAAGCACUCAUCUAGUGGAGAAUCAUCAUGUGGAUAGAUUUUUACCAUUGCCGAUUAUGCCCUACAAAACUAGAGCUGGAAAACAAAUGUGUGAAUUGAGAGCAACCUUUGGAUUUACCACCUGGGGGAAGAAAAUGAACAGCUAUUUGAGGAUUGUAAAUCUCACGAGCAGAUAAGAGAAUAUUUGACCACAAAGAAUCGGGUUGGAGCCAAUUUAAUAAUUAUUUCGUCUUGACAACUUUUUCCUAACUUAGAUUAAUAUUGAAGGUGACUGCACACAAAUAUUAAUCGAACAUUGGAUAAGCUUAACUUCCU
Molecule: long non-coding RNA, 759 nt
Filed under: Olea europaea subsp. europaea
Lineage: Eukaryota; Viridiplantae; Streptophyta; Magnoliopsida; Lamiales; Oleaceae
Source: RNAcentral